AAAAUACUAUUUAAUCUAAAAUCAGACAAUAAACCAACAACAGAACUACAUCAGCCAAGACAAAUGCUUGGAAGAAUGGACACAUUUCCCCCCUGGUGUCAAAAUUCAAUUAGUGUUGAUAUUGAUUGCACCUGAGAAUGGAGGACAUGCCAGAGUCGGGUGCCACUCUUGAGAAUACCCUAUCAUGAGUCAUUGCAUUUCCCAUCUCAGAGAAUUGUGACAUUGUGAAAAGGGCUGGAUGGAAUCUUGUAUGCUUCCUUCCAGCAACUGGUGCCAAACAUAUUGCUCUGCUUUCCUUUGGCCCACAUCAAUGAGCUCUUGUCAUCUGGGCAGGCCAGGACCUCCAUACACAGUUCCUGGGCUUGCGCCCUGAGGAUGUCACUUCAGUGCUGCUAAUGCAGAAAAAACAAUGCAGAAGGCAGAAGUUAUGAGUUACCGGUCUCUGCAGCCACAGCAGGCGCUGUGAUUUCCCAGCAGUUUGACUUCACCCCUGGAGGUGCACUCCAUUGUCUCGAGAAAGACAGUUGCCAACAUCAUAGAAUCAUAGAAUCAUAGAGUUGGAAGAGACCACAAGGGCCAUCGAGUCCAACCCCCUGCCAAGCAGGAAACACCAUCAGAGCACUCCUGACAUAUGGUUGUCAAGCCUCUGCUUAAAGACCUCCAAAGAAGGAGACUCCACCACACUCCUUGGCAGCAAAUUCCACUGUCGAACAGCUCUUACUGUCAGGAAGUUCUUCCUAAUGUUUAGGUGGAAUCUUCUUUCUUGUAGUUUGGAUCCAUUGCUCCGUGUCCGCUUCUCUGGAACAUCUCUGGAACUUUCUUGAUCUUCAUUCUUUUCCCAGUUUAACAAGCCAUGCUGCCCCUUAAAUAAGUAUUACAUUAUUAAGGUCAUUUAUUGCCUUGUAUAAAAGAAGCAAUGUAUUAUUGUCAUCUUGUGUGCAGCUGGAAAAUGGGUAUUGAUACGGAACAAAACAAAGAUCAUCUCUCAGAGGGUCUCUGGUAGGAAGAUCUAAGGCAAAAAGGCCCAUUUAGAUGCAUAGUAAUCUGCAUUACAGAACAGAGCUUUGCAAGCAAAAACUUCAGUCAAUAUUUUAAAUUAACCAAAUAUACAGUAAACAGGGUUAAAGGCAGCAAGCAAUUACAUUAAAAGCAGGCAUAAAAAAGCACUUGUCACUUUUAUUCAUCAGCCUGUUUGCCCAGAAUCCAAAAGCUAACUGUUUGUGUGAACAAGACCUACUUUGUGAUAUAAAACAUUAGUUCUUGUCAUACAUCCUUCUGAUUAUUGAUAGUUGUGCUUGGAUGGCAUUGAUCCGAGUGGAUUUCUUGCUGAACACAACAUCAGAGCUUUAACACCAGACAGACUUACACUAUAUUUUCAGCCAAUCUCAUUCUUGCGUACAGGCAGGUCAAAGGUAUUUCUUCCUCCCCCUCCAAUACGAUUGAUUAAGAAGGGCAUCUGAAACAAGGCCAUCACUGCCUGGACAGCAUGAGAGCUUCUACGUAGUGCUUUGUAAUGCAACAGCUCCCUUAUGUAGCUGCAAACACCCCACACCGCCCCAUUUCAGUGACGUCUUUAGGACAAUUCCAGGCCACUUUCAGGUUUGGCGCGAUGUGCUUAUACACAAUUGGGCACAUAUUGAACGUGCAUAAACCGGGUGGGCUGGGUGGGCUGCCUGUAUACUGAAUUAAGUGAUCUGCUAUAGAAUAUUACCAGAUAGAAUAUUGGGAUUCCUUGUUACUGCAUAUAGCUGCCAUGUUUUUACUGGAAUCUGUGGGACUAAAAGAGAUGGACCAAGCCACUAUUUUGGCAUUAACAAGCUUCUGCUUCUGCUAAGAUCACAAGGGAGUUUUGCAGGUUUUGCUCCUGUGCUGCCAUCUCACUUCAUUGUCAAAAUGCAAUAUGUAUCUAUUAAAGCACAAAGCAAGUAUACAAUACAAUAAGCUCAUAGUGUGGACUUACCCCACUUCCAUCACAAGGAUGCUAUAGCUCAUUCAAAUAGGUCGUUCCACACGUGAUCAACAAAAAGCAUACCUGUAGGACAGUUUUACCACCUAUGACUUCAAGUAGUCUUUCUAUAAGCUCAGGGACAUCGUUAGCUAAAAAUGCACAUACAUUAAAAAAAGCAUAAGCGAGGGAGAACAGUUUUACAUGGAAGAUUUACAAGGAAGAUUACAAUGCCUGUCCAAUCACUUCUUUGCCAAAAAAUACUCACUAUAAGCACAUCUUAAACCCUGGCAAAUUUAAUUGCUCCAAGAUAUUGGUUGGCCAACUAACUACAAACAAAAAUAAUAUCACAUGCAUAUUACUUAAAUAAUAUUUUUAUAAUGGCAUUUAGAAUUUAAAACCAUUAAUGACUUGAUAUUUGUGGUUGUUAUUUUAAAAAUUUUAUGGAUGUAUGGAGUGGAUGUGGCUUCAAGUAAAUAUUUAGGUACAUUGGUCAAACUGAAUAUUUAACAUUUAUGUAUACUAUCUGUGCAGUUUAGGAUUAGACGAUUCAUGCUUGUUUGCUUAUUUGGUUAUUGGAUCUGUAGAUGCGAUAAUUAAAAAAAUUAAAAAUAAAAACUCAAAUGUUGUGAUGUUGUGCAAAUUCUUUGCUUGCCUAGCAAUGUUGGGUGUGAUUUUUCAGCCUUCCUUAUAACUAUUUCUUUUCCAUCAAGUAUCCAGUGUAUGUCUGUGCUUGUGUGUUCACCUACACUUACAAUGCCUGCAUUACAGACAACCACAAUUGUGUACAUCAGCCGGUGUGGUUUUGUGGUUAGAGUACUAGAGUGUCAGACCAGGAUUCAAAUCCCCACUCAACUAUGAGGAAAGCGCUAUUUAAUGUUUGGUUAAGAUAUAAGGAUUUGUUAGAAAAUAAAACCCCAAGGUGGCUGUCACCAAUGGAAGCGAAAGCCUUGAAAAAGGUCAAUAUGGAGGUCAAAUGGCCGAAAUAUUGGGAAAUUUUGGAACAAGACGGAGAUAGACUGAAAUUGCAGAGUUUUGAAAAACUAAAAACAAAGUGCGAGACUGGCUUCAUUAUUAUCAGAUAAUGGAGGCAUUUAAAUUGGACAGGAAAAUUGGCUUCCAGGUGGAAAGAUCCAAAUUAGAAACAGAAUUGUUAGAACCCAAAACUAAGAAUUUGUCAAGAAUGUAUAACUUGCUGCUGAAAUGGAAUACUCAAGAUGAAACGGUAAAAUCGGCUAUGAUUAAAUGGGCACAGGACGUUGGACAUAACAUUAUGUUUGCUGACUGGGAACAGUUAUGGACCACAGGUAUGAAAUUUACGGCAUGUAAUGCCUUAAGAGAGAAUAUUAUGAAAAUGAUAUACAGGUGGUACAUAACCCCAGUCAAGCUUGCGAAAAUUUAUCACUUGCCCGAUAACAAAUGUUGGAAAUGUAAAGAAACUGAAGGUACAUUUUUUCACCUUUGGUGGACAUGCCCAAAGAUUAAGGCUUUCUGGGAAAAAGAUAUAUAAUGAAUUAAAGAAGGUAUUUAAGUAUACCUUUCCUAAGAAACCAGAGGCCUUUCUCCUGGGCAUAGUGGGCCAAAUGGUGUUAAAAAAGGAUAGAACUUUCUUUAUGUAUGCAACAACAGCAGCAAGAAUACUCAUCGCAAAGUAUUGGAAGACACAAGAACUUCCCACGCUGGAGGAAUGGCAGAUGAAACUUAUGGACUAUAUGGAAUUGGCGGAAAUGACUGGUAGAAUCCGUGACCAGGGAGAAGAGUCGGUGGAGGAAGACUGGAAGAAAUUCAAAGACUAUCUUCAGAAACACUGCAAAAUUAAGGAAUGUUAGAAUGAUGUUGGAUUGAAAAUAAGUGGUUUCCAGCUGUACAGGUUAAAGUUAAGGAUAAAUUAAGAUUAAAGAUCAAGAUUAAAGAUGUUUAAAGAAAUGGAAAUUUGAUAAUAAAAGGGAAAAAUUUAAAGGUAUAUGACAUUAAGAACAAGGAUUAGGCUUAAAAAAGUUGAAGUUAUAUAUUUUAAUAUCUUAUUAAACUAAAGAUUGGGUUUAAAAAAGUGGAAAAGAAACUGCUGGACAAAUAAUGUAGAUUGGCAUACAAAAGAGGGAGGUAUCAGGAAGUCCAGAAAAUAAGUAAUUUAAAAUUGGGAAUGGAAAAGAGAGUUGGUUUUUAAUUGUUAUGUUUUGUGUUUUUAUUGUUAAAUUUUGUAUUGUUUUUUCUUGUGUGUUGUUUUUCUUUUUUCUUUGUUUAAAACUUUAAUAAAAAUUAU
Non-coding RNA from Podarcis lilfordi (Lilford's wall lizard), 4208 nucleotides. Lineage: Eukaryota; Metazoa; Chordata; Lepidosauria; Squamata; Lacertidae. The record is from the annotation of a GenBank genome assembly.